GGAAACAGGUGCUAAUACCGUAUAACACUUUUUUCCGCAUGGAAGAAAGUUGAAAGGCGCUUUUGCGUCACUGAUGGAUGGACCCGCGGUGCAUUAGCUAGUUGGUGAGGUAACGGCUCACCAAGGCCACGAUGCAUAGCCGACCUGAGAGGGUGAUCGGCCACACUGGGACUGAGACACGGCCCAGACUCCUACGGGAGGCAGCAGUAGGGAAUCUUCGGCAAUGGACGAAAGUCUGACCGAGCAACGCCGCGUGAGUGAAGAAGGUUUUCGGAUCGUAAAACUCUGUUGUUAGAGAAGAACAAGGAUGAGAGUAGAACGUUCAUCCCUUGACGGUAUCUAACCAGAAAGCCACGGCUAACUACGUGCCAGCAGCCGCGGUAAUACGUAGGUGGCAAGCGUUGUCCGGAUUUAUUGGGCGUAAAGCGAGCGCAGGCGGUUUCUUAAGUCUGAUGUGAAAGCCCCCGGCUCAACCGGGGAGGGUCAUUGGAAACUGGGAGACUUGAGUGCAGAAGAGGAGAGUGGAAUUCCAUGUGUAGCGGUGAAAUGCGUAGAUAUAUGGAGGAACACCAGUGGCGAAGGCGGCUCUCUGGUCUGUAACUGACGCUGAGGCUCGAAAGCGUGGGGAGCGAACAGGAUUAGAUACCCUGGUAGUCCACGCCGUAAACGAU
RNAcentral lists this ribosomal RNA (671 nucleotides) under uncultured bacterium. RNAcentral's name for it is "bacterial SSU rRNA". It matches the Rfam family "Bacterial small subunit ribosomal RNA", at positions 152 to 810 of the family's 1533-position model. The record is from RNAcentral.